CGCCAUCGUUGAAGAGUUGAGGGUGUGUGUAGCAUAGUGGUGAAACGGAUCAGUGUGUCCACGGUUCGGUUCAGAUAACCGUUUUGGGCCUCGGUUUCGGAUACGGUUCGGAUCAUGUCCGUGAUAGUAAAAAGGCGGACUUUUUUUUGACGGAGGGUUUGGGGGAGAAACACAAAAAUGAAUGAGACCCACAGGCUAUUUGCAAUGUGUUAAUUGACUGCAAUCAGACAACUUGCAAGGCUUUUUUGUGCAAUAAAUGUUCCCCUAAAUGCAUUUGAAAACAUGGUGCACUGAGUGUAACAUGUAAGGGAUAACGGCCGACGAGGCUUAGAACUCUGGCGACGAGCGCAACGAAGGGCGGGAAAAGUCUCAUUGGCUCGGGCAGCACUGGAGAGAAUGCAUUCCGCUGGGUCCUAAACACCCUUUUGUAUCGGACGUAGGCUACAGUAGGCAAAAUAC
This is a long non-coding RNA of Gadus macrocephalus (Pacific cod), 459 nucleotides long. RefSeq lists it as uncharacterized. The transcript has 2 exons. NCBI's taxonomy places the organism in Eukaryota, Metazoa, Chordata, Actinopteri, Gadiformes, Gadidae. The record is from RefSeq and is a predicted model, not a curated record.